Molecule: ribosomal RNA, 301 nt
Filed under: uncultured bacterium
Lineage: Bacteria
Description: bacterial SSU rRNA
Rfam family: Bacterial small subunit ribosomal RNA
Source: RNAcentral
AGCGAACGCUGGCGGCAGGCCUAAUACAUGCAAGUCGAGCGGGUGUAGCAAUACACCAGCGGCAGACGGGAGAGUAACACGUGGGAACGUGCCCUUCAGUUCGGAACAACCCAGGGAAACUUGGGCUAAUACCGGAUACGUCCGUAAGGAGAAAGAUUUAUCGCUGAAGGAUCGGCCCGCGUCUGAUUAGCUUGUUGGUGAGGUAACGGCUCACCAAGGCGACGAUCAGUAGCUGGUCUGAGAGGAUGAUCAGCCUCACUGGGACUGAGACACGGCCCAGACUCCUACGGGAGGCAGCAGU